RNAcentral lists this ribosomal RNA (1253 nucleotides) under Alkalibacillus sp. W3. RNAcentral describes it as "bacterial SSU rRNA". It matches the Rfam family "Bacterial small subunit ribosomal RNA", at positions 88 to 1329 of the family's 1533-position model. Lineage: Bacteria; Bacillati; Bacillota; Bacilli; Caryophanales; Bacillaceae. The record is from RNAcentral.
UGGACGAGCGGCGGACGGGUGAGUAACACGUGGGCAACCUGCCUGUAAGACUGGGAUAACUCCGGGAAACCGGGGCUAAUACCGGAUAACUCAACGAACCGCAUGGUUCGGUGUUAAAAGAUGGCUUCUGCUAUUACUUACAGAUGGGCCCGCGGCGCAUUAGCUAGUUGGUGAGGUAACGGCUCACCAAGGCCACGAUGCGUAGCCGACCUGAGAGGGUGAUCGGCCACACUGGGACUGAGACACGGCCCAGACUCCUACGGGAGGCAGCAGUAGGGAAUCAUCCGCAAUGGACGAAAGUCUGACGGUGCAACGCCGCGUGAGUGAUGAAGGUUUUCGGAUCGUAAAACUCUGUUGUUAGGGAAGAACACGUGCUGUUCGAAUAGGGCAGUGCCUUGACGGUACCUAACCAGAAAGCCACGGCUAACUACGUGCCAGCAGCCGCGGUAAUACGUAGGUGGCAAGCGUUGUCCGGAAUUAUUGGGCGUAAAGCGCGCGCAGGCGGUUUCUUAAGUCUGAUGUGAAAGGCCACAGCUCAACUGUGGAGGGCCAUUGGAAACUGGGGAACUUGAGUACAGAAGAGGAGAGCGGAAUUCCACGUGUAGCGGUGAAAUGCGUAGAUAUGUGGAGGAACACCAGUGGCGAAGGCGGCUCUCUGGUCUGUGACUGACGCUGAGGCGCGAAAGCAUGGGUAGCGAACAGGAUUAGAUACCCUGGUAGUCCAUGCCGUAAACGAUGAGUGCUAGGUGUUAGGGGGUCCAACCCUUAGUGCUGCAGUUAACGCAAUAAGCACUCCGCCUGGGGAGUACGGCCGCAAGGCUGAAACUCAAAGGAAUUGACGGGGGCCCGCACAAGCGGUGGAGCAUGUGGUUUAAUUCGACGCAACGCGAAGAACCUUACCAGGUCUUGACAUCUUCGGACCACCCUAGAGAUAGGGUCUUCCCUUCGGGGACCGAAUGACAGGUGGUGCAUGGUUGUCGUCAGCUCGUGUCGUGAGAUGUUGGGUUAAGUCCCGCAACGAGCGCAACCCUUAACCUUAGUUGCCAGCAUUCAGUUGGGCACUCUAAGGUGACUGCCGGUGACAAACCGGAGGAAGGUGGGGAUGACGUCAAAUCAUCAUGCCCCUUAUGACCUGGGCUACACACGUGCUACAAUGGAUGGUACAAAGGGAAGCGAAACCGCGAGGUCAAGCCAAUCCCAUAAAGCCAUUCUCAGUUCGGAUUGUAGGCUGCAACUCGCCUGCAUGAAGCCGG